Molecule: ribosomal RNA, 922 nt
Filed under: uncultured archaeon
Lineage: Archaea
Description: bacterial SSU rRNA
Rfam family: Archaeal small subunit ribosomal RNA
Source: RNAcentral
CCGACUGCUAUCGAAAUGGGACUAAGCCAUGUUAGUCGAACGUCUUUUAACUAUGUGAAGGGCGUGGCGUACGGCUCAGUAACACGUUGUCAAUCCACCCUGAAGACGUGGAUAACCCCGGGAAACUGGGAUUAAACCACGAUAGAUCAAGAUUUCUGGAAUGGAUUUUGAUUCAAAGGAAGGAUGAGCAUGUUCAUCUAUUUGCCUCAGGAUGGGACUGCGACCGAUCAGGUUGUUGGUGGAGUAAUAGCCCACCAAGCCAGUAACCGGUACGGGCUUUGAGAGAAGGAGCCCGGAGAUGGACACUGAGAAAAGAGUCCAGGCCCUACGGGGCGCAGCAGGCGCGAAACCUUCGCAAUGCACGAAAGUGCGACGAGGUUAUUUCGAGUGCUAUCCGCUGAGGAUAGCUUUUGUCAGGUGUAAAUAGCCUGGAGAAUAAGGGGAGGGCAAGUCUGGUGUCAGCCGCCGCGGUAAUACCAGCUCCCCGAGUGGUCGGGACGAUUAUUGGGCCUAAAGCAUCCGUAGCCUGCUUUGCAGGUCUUCUGUUAAAUUCAACGGCUUAACCGUUGAGCUGCAGGAGAUACCACAAGGCUAGGAGGCGGAAGAGGUAGACGGUACUCCAUGGGUAGGGGUAAAAUCCUCUGAUCCAUGGAAGACCACCAGUGGCGAAGGCGGUCUACCAGAACGCGCUCGACGGUGAGGGAUGAAAGCUGGGGGAGCGAACCGGAUUAGAUACCCGGGUAGUCCCAGCUGUAAACGAUGCUAGCUAGGUGACGGAGUGGUUUCGUACCAUUCCGGUGCCGCAGGGAAGCCGUUAAGCUAGCCGCCUGGGGAGUACGGUCGCAAGACUGAAACUUAAAGGAAUUGGCGGGGGAGCACCACAAGGGGUGAAGCCUGCGGUUCAAUUGGAGUCAACGCCGGG